This is a long non-coding RNA of Oreochromis niloticus (Nile tilapia), 2088 nucleotides long. Lineage: Eukaryota; Metazoa; Chordata; Actinopteri; Cichliformes; Cichlidae. The record is from Ensembl.
GGAGUAUUUGCCGGCCUUAUAUUUAAGUCAUUUAAUAUGGACAAUGGGGUAGAUGCUUUAAUGAAAGCUUGUGAGUGUACAAGCGAAAUUCAAUUUACAAAAAAUAAUUUUGUAAUUUCAAAAGAACCUAUUAGGCUAUUUUCCAUCACCACUACUUAGUGUUCAAAAUGAUCAUUCUUUAUGCUACGAUGGACUUGAUGUAACCUCUCAGUUCAUCUACUGUGUCAAACAGGAAGGUUUAUCUCCCUUCACCCUCUCUUUUAGCCAGCUUUCUUCUAAUUGGCUGCCCCUCCUAAACAGGUCAUUUGGCUGAGACGACCAAAUCAGGGCUAUAUGACGCCAUGCACACCCAAGAGUUAAAAAAAACUCUUCAAAAUAGUAUUUUAAACCAGUCUAAAACCAGAGAUUUACAUAUAUGCUAUUAUAGUUAGACUGUUAAACGAUAUAUAUGCAGACAAUAAGACAAAAUCUAAGUACAUUGUUGUUACUGUUGUUGAGUCAUUGUGUGAAAUAUAGUCUCUAAAUUGCAGAGGAAGCUGUAUUUGAAUGAAUGUGCUUUGAAACUUUCCAUUUAGAUGACCAACACUUGGAUAAGAGUGCCUUCUCGUGGGGUUUGAGCGCCUCCUCCCUCCAGAACCCUUUAUCUCAGGGCAGCCGCUGUGCAAGGGGACCUGAGUGCUUUGAGCUGAAAACCAUCUGUCAGAGCAGCGCCCUGCCUCAGGCCCACGUACAGCCAGCAACAGAGACCAGGAGGAAGCUACCGCAAACAGAAUACCAGUUCAACUAUGGCCCUAAGAUACAGAGUGGUCAAAGGAAGCUCUGUACUCAGCAGGAUGCCUUCUCCGAUCGCCCACCUUGUCACUGGUCCUCAGUCUGAAUCUUGACUCAAUACAGAUCAUUCAGAAAAAAAUGCUGAAUUUUUUGUAUUUUGAUUUAGACUUAAAGUGCAGCAUGUUAGUAUGAAAUGUUUUAGAGCUGCUUUGUCCAAACACCUCCGCAGAAAAGUGAGAUAGCGGUCAAGGCUUUUGUCCGUGAGUCUCGGUUAUCUCGCCGAGGACACAAAAGCUGACAGCGAGUCACAACGUAGCAGUAAACCAUCUGCUGACAGGAAGACGGUAAGCUGUGAACUUGCUGGCAUCCUCGUGCUGGGCAGAGGCUUAAGUGUUCACACAGCUGUGGUGGAUGAAUUACUUAGUUUUUUGGGGGGGGGUUUAAGUGUCAAGAGAUGUAUUCUAAGACACUUCUUCAGCUUUGAAUCAGAGAGGAGAAACACACAGUUUUUACUUGCAGCAAGGGCAGGCGCAGAACACUCGCACGGAAGUGAGGGCUCCGAGACUCACGCCCUGCCACUGCCCUGGUCUUUAUUUAUAUUGGUUCAGUGGGUGUGUGUGUGUGUGUGUGUGUGUUGGGGGGGGGCAGAGUGUGACCCCAUACAGACUUCCCUAAACCUGCUGGUCUGGAAGUCCAACAGUUCAUCUAAACAAAAGGCACUUAGCUUAAAACAGACAUAGAUACGUUUAUCCUAUCAUAAAACAAUAACAGAAGGUAUGCCCUUUCCCAUGCUCCCAGGAUGUCGGUGUGAAUGCCAGAACACCCUGGAAUGCACACAAAGCCUUUGCAGCCUACUAAAGAUCGCACAUGCUAUCACUACACAAUCGAUUAUACACCUCUAAGCAUAUAUGGAAACCUGUAUCAUUAAAAGAUUAUACUCUUUUUCAUUCUUAUGAUCCAAACUCAUAGUGCUGCACACAGUAGCGUCCCUGUGCGAUGACCUUGGUUCCACCUGGGUGCUGUAUAUAGAAGGUGUGGUGACUUCAGGGGCCAUAUAUCUCUGCUCCUUCAUAUCAGCACACAUCAUCACCAGUCGAGGGAUUUGCAGUCUGUGGCGUUCACAUUCAUGGAUUUCAGGCUCCUCUAGUCUGUUAACAUUUCGAUCCUCUUCCUUUUGUUCCUGUUUCGCUUUGGAAAUGAGCACCGACACAGUCAUGAGCUCAUUUCCAGGAUAGUCACCAAAAACCAAUCCUUCAUCUCUUUUUCUGCAGACAUAAUCCUGAUGUCACUCCUCCAGUCUGCUUUCAGAUCCACACU